ACGUGAUCUGAGUUCAGACCGGAGUAAUCCAGGUCAGUUUCUAUCUAUAAUGGAGCUCUUUCUAGUACGAAAGGACCGAAGAAGCAUGGCCAAUACUUUAUGCAAGCCAUAAUUAUUAAUUUAUGACAUAGCCUCAAUAAAUAACUAAUCUUCCACCUGACCCCAAAAAAAGGGC
Molecule: ribosomal RNA, 175 nt
Filed under: Nyctimantis arapapa
Lineage: Eukaryota; Metazoa; Chordata; Amphibia; Anura; Hylidae
Description: partial 16S ribosomal RNA
Source: RNAcentral